GGAGAGGUGUCCGAGUGGUUUAUGGAGCUGGUCUUGAAAACCAGUGAUCCCGCAAGGGACCAAGAGUUCGAAUCUCUUCCUCUCCGCCA
Molecule: transfer RNA, 89 nt
Filed under: Ruminococcaceae bacterium CPB6
Lineage: Bacteria; Bacillati; Bacillota; Clostridia; Eubacteriales; Oscillospiraceae
Also listed under: 6 other names
Description: tRNA-Ser
Rfam family: tRNA
About the family: Transfer RNA (tRNA) molecules are approximately 80 nucleotides in length. Their secondary structure includes four short double-helical elements and three loops (D, anti-codon, and T loops). Further hydrogen bonds mediate the characteristic L-shaped molecular structure. tRNAs have two regions of fundamental functional importance: the anti-codon, which is responsible for specific mRNA codon recognition, and the 3' end, to which the tRNAs corresponding amino acid is attached (by aminoacyl-tRNA synthetases). tRNAs cope with the degeneracy of the genetic code in two manners: having more than one tRNA (with a specific anti-codon) for a particular amino acid; and 'wobble' base-pairing, i.e. permitting non-standard base-pairing at the 3rd anti-codon position.
Source: RNAcentral